GGAUGCUCUCAACAGAGCACCUGCUAUGGACUCUUGCUGGUCUUCAUGGCAGAGGAAAGAUAGCUCUGCAGGCUCUCACACUGGCCUAGAGAAAUAGGCCCCAGGAAUAUCAGGUUUGGGAUGCUUGCAGCACAAAAUGACAAGAAUUUCCCCAGCUGAGACAAGAGCGUGACAAAAAAUGACCAGCGGU
This is a long non-coding RNA of Gorilla gorilla gorilla (western lowland gorilla), 190 nucleotides long. RefSeq lists it as uncharacterized. The record is from RefSeq and is a predicted model, not a curated record. NCBI's taxonomy places the organism in Eukaryota, Metazoa, Chordata, Mammalia, Primates, Hominidae. The transcript has 3 exons.